CUUCGGCGGUUAGCGGCGGACGGGUGAGUAACACGUAGGCAACCUGCCUGUACGACUGGGAUAACUCCGGGAAACCGGAGCUAAUACCGGAUACGUUUUUCAGACCGCAUGGUCUGAAAGAGAAAGACCUUUGGUCACGUACAGAUGGGCCUGCGGCGCAUUAGCUAGUUGGUGGGGUAACGGCCUACCAAGGCGACGAUGCGUAGCCGACCUGAGAGGGUGAUCGGCCACACUGGGACUGAGACACGGCCCAGACUCCUACGGGAGGCAGCAGUAGGGAAUCUUCCGCAAUGGACGAAAGUCUGACGGAGCAACGCCGCGUGAACGAUGAAGGUUUUCGGAUCGUAAAGUUCUGUUGUUAGGGAAGAACCGCCGGGAUGACCUCCCGGUCUGACGGUACCUAACGAGAAAGCCCCGGCUAACUACGUGCCAGCAGCCGCGGUAAUACGUAGGGGGCAAGCGUUGUCCGGAAUUAUUGGGCGUAAAGCGCGCGCAGGCGGCUUCUUAAGUCAGGUGUGAAAGCCCACGGCUCAACCGUGGAGGGCCACUUGAAACUGGGAGGCUUGAGUGCAGGAGAGGAGAGCGGAAUUCCACGUGUAGCGGUGAAAUGCGUAUAGAUGUGGAGGAACACCCGUGGCGAAGGCGGCUCUCUGGCCUGUAACUGACGCUGAGGCGCGAAAGCGUGGGGAGCGAACAGGAUUAGAUACCCUGGUAGUCCACGCCGUAAACGUUGAG
Molecule: ribosomal RNA, 735 nt
Filed under: Aneurinibacillus sp. DBT13
Lineage: Bacteria; Bacillati; Bacillota; Bacilli; Caryophanales; Paenibacillaceae
Description: bacterial SSU rRNA
Rfam family: Bacterial small subunit ribosomal RNA
Source: RNAcentral